RNAcentral lists this long non-coding RNA (1737 nucleotides) under Mastacembelus armatus (zig-zag eel). RNAcentral's name for it is "lncRNA (ENSMAMG00000027443.1)". Lineage: Eukaryota; Metazoa; Chordata; Actinopteri; Synbranchiformes; Mastacembelidae. The record is from RNAcentral.
CGACUGCAACGUGCAGAGCUUUCUGUGACACGCUGUUUAUGUCUUUCAGAGGGUCUGUCUGUCUCGUACGUCGCACCAGCUUCCUGAUCCCCGUCUCUGUCUAAGCUCAGUGAAGGAGGAAAUCCCUCAAGGGUGUUUUCAGCAACUAUGUGAGGAAGAGCAGGAAACCGGGCCAUGCCGACCCCUUCACCCACAUUUCCAGCACCAGCAGGACACUCCCCUUCCAGCUAGGAUGGAAAUGGAAAUGUUUCAUCAUCAGCAGAGCACGAACAUUAGAGACAGAGGGCUGGGCUUGUUUCUUCACCCACUCAGCCCAUGAGCUUCAGAAGGGACACUUCACAGACUGGACUGGGGCUUUGAGCUGCUCCCCUUCUCGCUGUCCACCAUGAUCGCCUACCUGCUCUUCACUUUUCUGAUACUAGGUAUGUAUCUAACCUCACACACACACACACACACACAUUAACUCUUCAUUCUAUGUGGGUGUUAAUAAGGCUUUACUCCUGGUAUUUCCUGUUUUUUUCUUCCAUGUUUCCAUGAGCGUCCAUUGUUUUCACUGUGCGUGGGACUGAUGGGGGGAAAAGGCAGAAAACAUUUUAGUUUGAACAGAAGAAAAACAAAAUGCUGCUUUUAAAUCUUUUGAAAUGUGCUGAAGUUGUUCAUUAAUCAUAAGGAGUCCACAGGUGUUGGUGAAUCACAAACCAACAUUGAGCAAAGUUGACAGGAACCAAAACAUUGACUGGUUUUUCUCACUUAGUGUUAGACCUGAAUCUCAAGAUUAUUUUACCUUCACAUGCAACGUUACUGUUACUUUAAAUAAUGAAUCACUUGGUGCAAAAAAUGUUAUUUACUGUAGAAAUGUCCAUGUCCCUGAAGCAAAGUGAGUCUUCAAACUGCAUCUUCUCUUCAGCCAACGCUCUAAAAACUAAAAGUUCAAUAUUGUACCUGGUUCCCAAAUAGUAAAACAUGUGAAUUGUUCAACUUCGCUGCAGAUCUGAUUCUGAGUCUUUCUCUGUUGCUUUCUGUUUGGUUUAGUUUCUUUAUCACUCUGGCACUGGCGUCGUCAAAGGGAAACAAAAUUUGACACAUGCAAUAGUGUGAUAACAUGGUACAACCACACAAUCCAGCGCUGAUGAAACAACUGCAACACACAGUAUUUGUGUAUUAUGUUAGUGCUGAUGAACAGAUUAAUUUGUCAAAUGGUUAAAUAUUGUCAACCCUUCAGCUCAGGAGUGUCAGUGCUUUGGACUUUAUAGUCUUUAUUGGUUCCCAGUUUCUCUGACUUAAGGUCCAAAAUCCAAAUAUUCAUUUACAAUCAUGGACAAAAACAGCAAAUCCUAACAUAGAAACCUGAACAUGGAAUUAUGUUUUUCAAUAGUUUUGUCUUAAAAAGUGAGUCUUCCUUAUAAUCCACUGAAGAAUUUGAUGGAACAGUUUUCUGCCAGCAGGUCCACUGAAGGCUGAGACGUCCGGUCUGAAGUCAAGAAAAACUAAUCAAACACUGAAUCUGAAACACAGUAUGUCAGUCAUUUUACACAGAAACAUCCUUUGAAUCAAAUAUAUUAACAAUAAAAACCUGGAUAUGUGAGCUUUUAUAAAUGUGUGGCUGAAAGUUCAUUUACGUAGGAAAAAACUUUUUUUUUUUUCUUCCAGAGGAAUUUCAGGACCAGGAAACCGCUUUCUCGGGACAACACUGUAAGCCGGCCCACCUGGUAAACUUGAGUCACGUCUACUGUGGUG